Molecule: ribosomal RNA, 393 nt
Filed under: uncultured bacterium
Lineage: Bacteria
Description: partial 16S ribosomal RNA
Rfam family: Bacterial small subunit ribosomal RNA
Source: RNAcentral
AUACGGAGGAUGCAAGCGUUAUCCGGAUUUAUUGGGUUUAAAGGGUGCGUAGGCGGUUUGCUAAGCGGGAGGUGAAAUGCCGGCGCUCAACGUCGGAAGUGCCUCCCGAACUGGUGGACUUGCAUGACUCUGCCGUGGAAGGAAUGUGUAGUGUAGCGGAGAAAUGCGUAGAGAUUACACAGAACACCGAUUGCGAAGGCAGCGCACGAAGGGUUGAUUGACGCUGAGGCUCGAAAGCGUGGGGAUCAAACAGGAUUAGAUGCCAUGGUAGUCCACGCAGUAAACGAUGAUGGCUAACCGCUGGGCUUAUCAGUGCAGUGGCCAAGCGAAAGCGAUAAGCCAUCCAGCUGGGGAGUACGAUCUCAAGGUUGAAGCUCAAAGGAAUUGAGGGUG